AAUAUGAGCCAGUUAUUGUCGACACAGACUACAUUUACACAUCUACCUCCAUAAACAUCGAGUUUAGGUCAGAGGUAUGGCCUGUAUGCGACGAUUUUUCCAAGUUAUGGACAGUCGAUGUUUCCUCAUUCGCAGCCAAGGAGCCUGCCAUUAUGGUCGGUGGUGAGAAGAAGAGCCCAAAUAGCUUGUUUAAGAUAGAAGAAGCUACAGGAGCACACACUUACAAGUUGACCACCUCAUCUGGAACCAUUGGAGCCACCCUAGGGGCUAUCUCACAUGCACCACAGCUACUUGUCACCAAUGAUGAGUCUAAGACCUUAUUCGUCAAGUUCGUGAAGGUUGAUGAUGAUGCUACUAAGGCUACUACUUCUACUUCACGUGUUGAGAAGUUAGGUCUAAGGAUGUUCCCAUUCUACUAGUCAAGAGAUCAUGUAAUAUUGUAAAAAGCCCGAGACUCGUCCAUGGCCAUGAGUAAUGGGUUGAGAUAACACCCGCACGCAUGUAUGUGAACUCGUCUUUACCUUCAUAACAAAUCAAAUAAAUUUGUGUUUCCGGAGCUUUAUGUGAUAUAACUUUACACUUUAUAAAAAUCCAGUAGUCCUAAAUUCUAAUGACCCUAUUUCCGUCGCUUGUGAUAAAUGUAAAGUUUUUUUAUUUUUGAACAAAUAUUUGAAACUAUUGGGGGUCUUUGGCCGGCGUCUAUUAAUAUACAAGUAAUAGCAGAGAAAAUCUUGAUUGUGAGUUUUCUGUCGUCACCUAUUUGUUUCCUUGUGAAAAUGUAGAAAUCAUUUUGUGAUUCUUGUUUUAGCUAGUAAUUUUUUUCUAUAAAUUUAGAGAAACGAUUGUGACCAAAAACAAAGAUAAGGAUGUAAACAACCAUUCAUACAUCCUUAUCUCUCUGCAUUUAAACCUUAUCUUCUUCCCAUGAGUUAUUGGUAGUGUUAUCGUUCGUCUUUAAUUUGUAUGUUAGCUACGAUAUGUGAAUGGGAGAAAAGAGGGCUUACCGGUAAUCUCCCAUUCCCGCCGUCGAGUGAACUUUGAACUUUAUAAUUUCUUUCCUUAAGCUUUACAAUAGACCCUUACAAGACUUAUAUACAGAGGACUACUAGGGUUUUAGGAACAAUCUAGAUCUUAGUGUAAACCUUAUCUAUCCAGCUAAGACCUAUUGCUUUACACCUCAAAGCGACUGUGGGGGAGCAAGCUCGUCGUUCCCGUACACGCUCCUCUGUCUGUAGCAUAUGACCGUUGUGGUGAGAAGGAGAGGAGCUUAUUGGGUCUCACUUCAGCUGCAUUGGCUUGGGCUUGGGCUUCGUUGUCCUUAUGCCCCAAAGACUUCCAUUCACUAAUAUUCCCCCUCAAACCAGAGGUGGGUGGAGCACCAACUCCUAGUUUGGCACGCAGCUGCAUGAAAGCUCCCUUUGGCAAAGACUUUGUGAAGAUAUCUGCAAUUUGUAGAGUUGCAAGGAUAUGUCUUGUUUCUAUCAAACCCAAAGCCAUUUUCUCCCUUAUAUAAUGAUAAUCCGUAUCAAAGUGUUUGGACCUCUUGUGUAGAGCCGGGUUAGCACUUAGAUUGACGGCUGAUACGUUGUCACACAACAGCAAAGUAGACUGAGGUUGAGCAAUGCCUAGAUCACGCAGGAGGAAAGAUAUCCACGCAAUCUCCUGAGUUGUAGCCCCUAAAGCUCUGUAUUCAGCCUCUGUAGAUGAUCUUGAAACUGUUGCUUGUCUCUUUGCUGACCAAGAGAUGAAAUUUGGCCCUAGCAGUGUACAAAAGCCAGUUGUAGAUCUUCUUGUCUCUUUACAGCCUGCCCAAUCAGUGUCACAAUAGGCUGAGAGUUGAAGUUGCUCUCCCUCUCCCUUUUGAAUGUAUAAACCAAGCGUUUGAGUGCCUUUGAGAUAUCGUAGGAUGCGUUUUAGAAAUCCAAAAUCAGCUGUAGUAGGCGAAUGCAUCCUCUGACAUACAAAGUUCACUGCAUACUGUAUGUCAGGCCUUGUGAUUGUUAGGUACUGAAGCUUACCUGCCACACUCCGAAAGUAAGUAGGCUCUAAGAACCGUUCUGAUUCUUCAUAGUCUGGUGUUAACGGAAGCGGUGUUGGCAUUGGGUUACAGUCAGUCAUUGACGUAAGAUGAAGUAUCUCCUUGACAUAUGCUGACUGAUGAAAAAACAUUCCCCUUCCGUAGAUUGUAGCUCAAUACCAAGAAAAUAGCUUGGCUGACCAAGAUCUUUCAUUGGAAAACGUUUUCCUAAUGACUCCACAAGUGGUAGUAACAGAGUUUCAUCACUGCCAGUCAACAGAAUGUCAUCCGCAUAGAGUAAUAACACCAUUGUCUUCUGUUGUCCUUAUGGCCCAAAGACUUCCAUUCACUAAUACGAUACACCACUGUGCAUGUUCCUCGUGCUGAAAAUUGAAAUUUGAAUCAGUUACCGUAGAGUCUAGAAACCAAUCGAUGUCAUGGUAAUGAUCAUAAUGUGAGAAGAGGAAAGAGCCAAAAACGUAUUUAAAGCUGAUAGAUACCUUUCGGUUUUUGUUUAGCACAUAUGUUUUUUUACUGUCACACCACGCAGUUUUAAAUUUAACCGCAUAAACUUCCUAUAAAAACGAGUAAUGAUGCCCUAAGCUCGACGUGUCUUCCAAGGCAAUCAUUGGAGGCAGUUGAAUGCUUAUCAUUUGGAACACGACAGCAGAGAAAAGUUUCUGAUCGAUACCUUCACAUUCACAUAGGUCAAAACCCGAACUCAUUUGUAACAGAGAAGACUCGAUCGAUACUCGUUUUUUUCAUGAAGGCAGUCGUUAAAGGCAAUUGUGCUUGCUGAUCUUUGGCUUAUGGUCCUUCGUGUACUCCCAGAACCAAAGUUUUGUUGAGAGAGAGAGAGAACGAGACACAACUUCAUUAAUUGGUUUAUUUACAUAUAAAGAUUUGGUGAUGAGUUCCAUAAAUGAACAAAAAUAUCAAAAGAUUGGGACUUUUAUUUUUUUUCAAUAUCCUCCAACUAGAUUACAAAGUAGCUGCUGUUACGUAGUACGUACAUCAACUAUAUUCUUAUGUAGAAAAUACCUUAGAAAAAGCUAAGCGGCGAAGCCGAGAAAAGCUAAUCUUAUAAUAUGAUUAAAACAUUGAAAAGAAUCGUCCAUUUUACAGAAAUAGAAAAAUCUCAAGUGUUUGACCCAAGAAAAAAAAAAAAAAAAAUCUCAAGUGCAUACGUGAUUCUCACUGGAGCAACCAAGGACCACAGGGACAUGUGUCUUGCAACUGUGUAAUUCUUGAUGCCGUAUGCGUGAUUCUAAUCUCCGAAAACUGAGGAUAUGGUCCACAAAUGAUAGACAUUGUUUUUACUCUUCCUUGUCUUGGCUUCCUGUCGUUCUCUGGUUAUAAAUCUUGAUUGUGAAUUUUCUGUCGUCACUUAUUUGUUUGCUUGUAGAAAUCAUUUUGUGAUUCUUGUUUUAGCUAAUAAUUUUUUUAUAAAUAAAAUUUAGAUAAACGAUUGUGGCUAGAAACAAAGAUGUUAACAUUCAUUUGUUCCUUGUUUCACUCAUUCCUUAUCUCUCUGCUCUGAAAUCUUAUCUUCUUCCCAUUGUUAAAAAAAGAAAUUAAAAAAAAAAAAAUUUUAAAAAAGCUGAUAGAUACCUUUAGAGCAUCAUUAUCUUAGAGACCCCUUAAUUAAUUUUUAAUACUAUUUAAAUAGUAAAUUUGGUUAAGAGAUUUAGUUAAGAAAUUUCAACUUUUAUGUCCUCCUUCAUUGUAAAGUCUCUUAUUUACGGGUUCUUAAAAAAAAAAAAAACCAAAUGAGAGAGCUUCAAGUGAUAAAGGAGAGAGCUUUCAUUACACAAACCUUAGAGACAACAUGCUUUCAAAACAGACGCAAAGCUAAUAGAAUUCAUGAAGCAAUCAAAUAUGUUUGCAUGAUGAGAAGAGCAGUCUACAUACCCGUAAGCGAGCAACCUCUCCAAUUUGCAUUCCGAUAACGCCUUCAUCCCAUCCUGUAAGCAAAAGAUUUCAACAAUUUUAAAUUCAUAUUAGCUCUUGUUAUGGAAAGAAUAACAGAACCAUAACAAUAUGAUCAAACCACAAAACAGAGGAAAAUAUUAACUUUGAUGACAGCACGUUUACCGAUUUGGAAGGAGAAAGGCUUUUGCCCAGCGUCCUUUGUGUUAUUCAUAUACCAAAGUCCAAACACACAUUUAGGCUUAACGAAAUAACAAAAUUAACAAGAAAAGACAAAACCAUAAAGCAACAAUGUGUGUGAGAUGAUCUUUUUACCUCCAGAACUGCUGGGAUGUAUCACCACCUUUCCCUGAAACAAAACACAAAGCAUUACAAAUUACGAUUUCGAAACAAAGGGCAUAUAUAGAGAGUUUCAAUCUCAUACAAGAAACUUGUAUUAUUAUUAUUAGAUAAUUAAGCUUACUACUCCAAGAGGUCGAUUUAUUAUUAGAUCACCACCAGUUCAUCAACAAGUUCUCACACACAUACUCACUCUGAUCUCAGAACAUAAACCCUAAUUAAAUAGAUUUCUCCAGAAAGUAAUCGAACACAAAUAGCGAAACAUCCAACCACUACCACAUCAGCUGAGCAGAAUUUUUUUGUAAGAUCGAUUUUUCCUACAAUGGGAAGUUUCAAAGAUAAAGAGAGGUUUACCGAAUCCGGUGCAGUGAACGGUGACGGUUUGACCCGGGGCGGGUUUGGGACCGGUCCCGGGUCUGAUGAUUUGUUUCUCCGCUCCGUUGCCGGCGGCGCCAUCUCUCUCUCUCGCUGCGAAUUGGGAGAAACUGAAGAAGAGCUAAGUCGGGGAAGAAGGAGAGCAAAAGUCGCAAAAAGGGACGCAUGUUCGUAAGAUCCGUCUCUUGUAGUCUCCAAAUAAGAGACGUGUCUUCACAUAUAAGCUAAUUUUCUUUUAUUUUAAUUCCUAAAUAACAUAAGAACCCCAGCUAAAUACGGUGGAUAAAGAUGCUCUUAGACCAUGAUUAUCGGUGGUUUUUAAAGGGGUCCAUAAAGAAAAAUGGUGAUUUAAUUAAAUCCAAGCAAAAUUAAAAGAGAGUUAUCGAUCCUUAAGAGCAACUUCAAUGGUGUUACCCACCAUUGGAGUCCGUAGGAUUAUAAUAGUAUUUUUUAUGCUUUUUGAAUAGUUAAGGAUUUGAGUCUAAAAUGUAUGCCCAAUGGUGUUACUCAAAAUGAAAUCCUUAGGAAUUUAAAAUUAUGGCUGGGUUUUUCACUAUCGCAAAUCGAGCUUGCAAUACACCAAAAGCACGCUCCACAUCUUUUCGGGUAGCUUCUUGAACUUUAGCAAAUAACUCUGCUUUAGGACCUUGAGGGAGUGUGAUAGAUUGGAUAAAUGUUGACCAUUUUGGAUAUAUACCGUCCGUGAGGUAGUACGCCAAAUCAUAUUGGUGUCCGUUGACCAUGUACGUUACCCUUGGAGCUCGACCUUCAUAAAUGUCAUCAAAUACAGGUGAUCGAUCAAGGACGUUAAUAUCGUUUAAGGUACCUGGAGAACCGAAAUAAGCGUGCCAUAUCCAAAGAUCUUGUGACGCUACAGCCUCCAAAACAAGUGUCGGCUUUCCUGAUCCACGGGUGUAUUGUCCUUUCCAAGCGGUUGGGCAAUUUUUCCAUUCCCAAUGCAUACAGUCGAUGCUUCCAAUCAUCCCCGGAAAGCCGCAGAUCUCUCCAAUAUCGAGUAAACGUUGAAGAUCCUCAGGAAUGGGUCUCCAUAGAUAUUCUUCUCCAAAUAAUAGAAUGACGGCAUCUGUGAAAUGGGUUAAACAUGAAAGUGCGAUGCUUUCACCGAGUCGGAGAUACUCGUCGACGGCGUCAGCCACACAGCCAUAAGCAAGCAUACGAAUAGCCGCCGUACACUUUUGUAGUGUAGAUAGACCCAACCGUCCGACCGCAUCUCUCCUUUGCUGAAAGAAUGGAACAUUUGCUGAGAGGGUGUCGAUAAUACGCAUGAAUACUUGCUUGUUCAUGCGAAAACGACGUCUGAAUAAAUUUUCCGGAAAUGACGGAUUUUCACUAAAAUAGUCAUUCCAUAGACGGUUAUGGCCCGCUUCGCGGUUUCGUUCGACAUAUGCACGUUUCUUCUUUUUAUCUGCUUGAUUCUCCACGAUGUUGUUGUAUGUGUCUUCAAAAUAUUCAUCAAAAGCCUCAUUGACAGCCGCAUCGAGUCUUCGGUCGACUUCAUCUGCCAUAUUUGCCUAUCCUUCCUUCAAAAAUUAUUUAGAUUAAUGAAGAAAACAUUUCAAUCUUACAAAAUUGUGUUUUAGCAUAUUUUUUAAAUCUAAAACCGUUCUCUACAAUUAUAGAAUGUGUUUUUCUAAAUCAUUAGCUCAAUUACUAGGAACACUUUAAAUUUAUGAAUACAAUUCUACAUGAAAUUUUAUAUUGAGGCUCAAUAAUGUUGUAGUUUAUCAUGUUGUCAAAAUUUUGAGGCGACAUAGAUGUAGAAAAGUCAGCAUACAAAAUGCAAAGCACGUAAAUAUUACAGGAUGCAGUGGGAUGAGUGGAGCCUUUUUGUGUAUCGAUUGAUUGUAAUGGUUGUUGUGUAUCGAGCCUUGUUUAUUAUUUUGGUUUGUAAAUAUGUAGUAGAAGGCAAAGAAGAGCAUAGGAAACAGAAAACACUAAAACAUCAUUUUACAUCCGUUUUUAAGACAAUACAAGGAAGAAGAAGCACACUUGGUUCACUAAACAUCCGAGUCUACAAAGAGACUUAUAAAGGCAACAUGGUACAUGACUUGGUCCACAUCAAAAUACAAACAGAAAGAUACAAAUAGCCCGUGACUUGGUUGAUUUCUAAAUAACAGGAGAAAGAGACAAACCACCCGUGACUGAAAAUACAAACAGAAAGAUACCAGCUUUAGUCUUCAACAAGCACAUGGUCUUGUACUUCACCUGAGACAGAGGAAAAUCACGUGUGUAAGCAGAGGAUAAUCACGUAUGUAAAAGUGAAAUGACAACUACACUUGAAACUAGUCUAAUGCAAACAUGUGAAACUAAGGUUAGAGCUAACAAACCCUACAACAACUCAGACAGAAGUUUCAUUUUGAGAGCUGAUUCCAUCUCAGAGAGAGGCUCAGACUUUGCAAGCAAACACUCUAGCAAACUUUGCUUUGAGAUUUGUUUUUUGAUCUCCAACAAAUUCUCAAGCUUUGCCAAUUCUUCUUCUUUUCCAGUUUUCUUCCUCUUUUUAGCAGCCUUCGCAGCCUUAACCCCAACUGGUCUCUCCUCUGGCUCUGGCACUGUCCCUUCGCCAUCAACAAGAUCCACUGGUUUGCGCUUUUCCUUCUCAAGAUAGGUGGAGCACCACUUCACAUCAUGCCUAAGCUCUCUCCACGCGUGUUCCAAGUUGAACUUCUGGUUCUGGUCGCUGUGGAAGAUAUCCAAGGCUGACUUCAUCACAUCGUUGUCAUUUUGCCCGCUCCUCUGCUCCCUCAGUGCCAUGUCGUAACAUCCAGCAAAUUUACAGACCAAAUCAUUGAUCCUAGCCCAUCUUUGCUUGCAUUGCCCAAGUUCUCGAGGGAUAGUCCCAACCAGAAGAGGACUAGCGUUGUAUUACUCUACAAUUCUCUUCUAGAAGGCUCCAGCUUUUUGUUCAUUACUCACUAUUGGGUCUUUGCUGGUGUUGAGCCACACACCUAUGAGGAUUACAUCCCCUUUCGGUGACCACUUUCUCCUCUCUUUGACACUAGACUCAUCACUACUUUGACCGGAAAAAAAAGGUUGUGAUGAGCCAAGGUCAAUUGACCCUUGGCUCGCUAAUAGGUUAACAUAACCAUUAUUAUUUGCCAUUUACGAAGAAGUCUGUGUUUCUCUUGUAGAAACACAGAGGAUUAAAUAAGGGAUUCUCCAUUAACAGCAUUGAAGCGUAGUGGAAAUCUGUCCUAUCAGAACAGCUCACGACCUUUAAAUGAAUGUUUUAGUCUAAAAAGAAGCAGUUAAGGCACAAUUUAAUGAUCGUUUCGUGGGAAUUUAAACUACGAAGUUAACCUUAUUUUCAAACUACAACGUUAACCAGUGAAAAUCCUAGUUUGGUUUCAAACUACAAGGAGACACACCCCACUAUCCUAGUUUGUUUUCAAACUACAGAGUUACACACACAUGAUCCUACUAAAUAUUUAAACUGUUGAUUUAAAGUGUUCAAAACACUAACCUCAGCGGACUCUCUCAAGUUCACACACACGCUCAAGAAGCAUCUUAACCUGAACAUGAAGAGACAUCAGAGACAAAACAAUAUGUUAGAAAGAUUGUAAAAAUUAGUUUCAACGUUAAGUAAGAAACUAACCUUAAGCGCCUCGCACUCGCGCAUGAGCUUCUCCUGCUCGAGAAACUUUAGGUUGAGCCUCUCAAUCUCUUGUUGCACACCCAUUACCCAUGGCUGCCUAAAAUGCAGCCCGUCGUUCUGCCAAAACAUAAAAUUCAUAAGCAAACAGCAAAACAAUUUGGAGUAUAAAGAGACAGAACAUUUCGAACCUGGUAGUCUGUGCAGAUGAAGUAUCUUUUCCUCGGGAUGUAAUCAUAUGUAUCAUCUUCGUCGACAAACUCCUUUGUGAUAGAUCCACAGGGGCACAGCUUCGGAAUUCCCUGUUGGGCAUCUGAAACGAAAUGAAGCAUGUUGUAGUACGCUUUGUGUGCUUUCAUGUCUCGCAGUUCGUCCUCCAUUUAGAACCUAAAAGAACAAAAAAAAUAUAAGCGAAUCAUCAAAAGCCCCAAAUUAUAAAACCCUAAAUCGAUUUAUAAAAGCCAACAUCGAAUGACAGCUCAAUCACGGACCCUUAAAUCCUCCAAAAUAACCAAGAACAAUAUCGAAAAGAAGAGAUUGGCAAACCCCGACAGAAACCCUAAUUCGAAUUUAAUCCCCAAUCGAUAAUGAAACCCGAAAUCUAUUGAAACCCAUGAAUCGAAUCCAUAAAAACAGGAGAAAUCUACAUGCAUCUACUCCAUAAGAAAGAAUAGUGAGUUUAAACGGUCGGAUUUGGCCGGAUUUACCUAAAACGAAGCAGAUCGCUGAAUCACCUUUGUCGUCGCCUUUAGAGAAGGAGAAGUUUUUUUUUAGCUCGAGCCGCGUAAAUGAAACUUUCCCUUCCCCCAUACGAAACGCAACGCUUCACCCCACCAAUCAGAUGUUGCCAGCUCAUUUAGGAUCAAAGCCAAAAAAUCCUUAUUUAAGGAUUCUUUCUUAGCGUAAGCUAAUUUAAUAAUAUUAUUUUCUCCUAAAUUGUACUUAGCGCUAAGGAAUAGGUUACAUCCCGCGUUGCAUGUGGUCUAACGGGGCACUUUGGUGACCGAUUUUAAGAACUACGUGUCAGUCCCACAGAUUUUUUUUUUCUUUUUUUCUUUUCUUUUCUAGUUGUUUCGUUUACUCCGUCACAUAAGAAGGAUCGAUACAGACGACGGAUUACGACUCCCUCGGUUGAGUCGACGUCUCCUCCGUAUCUUCAUUUGUUAUUGUUACCUUCGCGAAGGUCUUUUCGUUAAAGCUUCGAAAAGCGACGAUGGGUUUUGUUCAGCUCCUUCGAUCACUGAAUCAGACGAGAAGCCAAAACCCAUUUACUGGAAAAGUCACGAAUCCAACACUCUCUCCUUCACACCUCCGAGGUUCGAAAUGUUUUUCUUUACAACAAUCGUAGUCUCUAGCUUCGUGUCAUUGAAAGUUUGAUACUUUUGUCGCUUAACUUCUAUUUCUUGUUAGAGAUUGGUUUAGUGCUUAGUCUGACAGAAUUUCAAGCUCUUGUAUUGCUCUUAACUUCUAGAAGAUCAUAUUGGUGCUGACAUAGUAGAUAUGAAAGCUUGAAGUUCAAUUCUUUUGGAUACAGAUUCGUCUCUUUUAUAAAAGGUUGUCCCUUUCUGUAUAUUUAGAUUAGUUUUCUAAUUUAAAUUUGAUACCGAGCAUUCUGCAUUUGGAUGUUUGUUGUAGUUGUUUAAGUGAUGAAAAGCUCGUGACUUUUGGUUUCUCUUGUCAAAGCUGAUCCACAGACCAAACCUAUGGAUUCUCCACAGCUCUUGUCAAAAUUUAUUAUUCAUCGUUGUUCUAGUUUUGGAGAAUUGAGUUUAUAUUUUUUUUCCUGCAGGUCAUUUAUCAGAUUAAGCUACCAGGACCUGCAAUACUAGGAGAGGUAAUUUCAAUUGUUCAAUUUGUAUUUGUCAUCGUGGGUUAUGAUUGUUUAGUUGGUAAUCUGAUUCAUUAUCUUUGACACACUGAUACGUCCUUGAAUGUGGUCUAGUUCUGUUGCCUGUUAACAAGAGAGGACUGUUACAUUCCCCAAAACCUGAUCUCUGUCAGAAAGUAUCAAGCUUUGAGCUUGAUGAUUCUCUAGUUCAUUGUGUUCUUCCAAGAUUUGAGGUAAUUUAAAUAAAUGGGUUCUCACUAGUUUCCCAUUCUUCUUCUUCUGAUCUGUGCUUAUAUAGUGGUUUGAUCUUUUGUCUUUAAGGUAGAAGAUGGAGCAGUUCAAAGAGAGGAAGUUCGCAGAGAAUGUGGUAAAGGUUUCACUUCUUCUAAAGCUAUUUGUGGUCACAUGGCUUGUCACUUUGAGAGAGAGAAGAGGGUGUCAUGUUCUCAUUUUUUUUCAGGUCAAGAAGAGUGUAAAGUCAUCAGUCAUCAGUCACGGACUUGUGUAGUAAUCACUUGUGCAAUGCUUACGUACUAACUCUUGUAAUCUUGUAUUCUUGCAAACUCUUGUAGUCAUCAGUCAGGAGUUGUAAAGCUUUGUGUCUAUAUAAACUUGUGAACUCUUGUAGUCUUGUGAACUCUUGUAGUCUUGUCUAUAUAAACUUUGUAUACCAAACUUUUAUUCACAACACAACACUCUUCUUCAUUCAUCACACAUCUUCUUUCAAGUUCCUUCUCAAGUUUUUUUUUGAAAACAAGUUUCAUAAACAAGUUUAUAAACAAGUUUCCUUCGACUUGUAAACAAGUUUUAUAAAAAAAAAUUAUCUCAUGGUUUCUUUUUCUUAAAACACUUUUGAGGGAUCACUUGAUGAAAAUUUUGAUCAAACUUUUGAGAAUUUUUCCAUUCAUUUACCUUUGAAAAUUUUUCAAUUCAAGCUCGGAUUUUUUUUUCGAAUUAUUUUCGAUUAUUGUACUAAUCUUUGUUAUUAUGUAUUUUUUUAAAUCUAUGUUUUAAAUGUUAUCUUUUUAUAGGUUUUAUUUAAUAAAUAAAAUUUUAUUAAAAAUAAAUAAUUUUUUUUAGAACCCCUAAUUAAGAAACUCUCAUUGGACCGCUCAAAAUGGGAGUUUCUUAACUAGAGUUCUUAAUCUCACUUAAGUAUAUUUAAAAUAUUAAAUAAUCAUUAAGAAACCCACUUAAGGAUCAUGGGAUAAUCAUGCUCUUAGGUUUUAUUUACCACACGAUUUUUUUUGAACUGUCACAUGCACCACACAGUUUUAAAACUUAACCGCAGAAACUUCCUAUAAAUACCUGUACAAUGUGUGUUGCUCUCCACAACUCAACUCACUCAAAUCCUAAAAACACACACAAAAAAAGAAAUUAAAAAAUAAUGAAGAAUCCUUCGGUGACCUCUUUUCUCAUCACUCUCCUCUUGUCUGCAGCUGUCUGCGCCCACGGCACUACACAGAUCGACGGAACUCCAGUUAAGGUCGGGGAAAAAUAUUUCAUGCUGCCGGUUAAGACAGAGAAUAACGAUGGAGGUGGUCUUGUUCCAGCCGCCACCAACAUACUUCCCUCUUGUCCACUUGGCAUCACCCAAACACGUCUUCCGAACCAACGGGGCAUCCCCGUUAGCUUCCGAUAUACAGAAACUAUCGACAGAGACUACGUUACCACAGACACCUCUAUAAACAUCGAGUUCAUGUCGAUGACUCCUCAUCUGCCAUUAUCAUCGGUGGUAAACACAAGAGCCCAAAUAGCGCGUUUAAGAUACAAAAUGUUACGGUAGAAGAACACACUUAUAAGUUGACCACCUCAUACGGAACCGUUGGAACUACCCCACCGCAGCUACUUGUCACCAAUGAUGAGUCUAAGACCUUAGUUGUUCAGUUCGUGAAGGCUGAUGAUGAUGCUACUAAGGCUACUUCUCGUGUUGAAAAGUUAGGUCUAAGGAUGUUCCCAUUCUACUAGUCAAAGAUCAAGAUCAUGAAAUGUAAGAAUCCUUGAGAACUCGUCCAUGGCCAUGAUUAAAUGGGUUAUAGAUAAUACCCGCAGGUAUAUAUGUGAACUCGUCUUUACUUUCGUAAAUAAAUCUCAUGAAUUUGUGUGUUUUCAGCGCGUUAUGUAAAUACCCGCACGUAUGUAUGUGAACUCUGUCUUUACUUUCAGAGUAUAAGUUUAUGUUUUCCGGCGCUUUACGAGAUAUGUACCUUUUACAUUAAAACGAUAUCCGAUAAUCUAGUACUAAAUUCUCAUGACAUAUGCAUAUCACCAAUGAUCCUAAAUCUAUUUUGGGUAAACCUAACCUCUGUUUUUAAAAGCUCUGUUCAUCAAGAGUUACUAACAAGGUAUAUAUAAUAUAUAGGUUACUUUUACCUCAAGAAUCUCUAUUCUUCUUCUGUUUUAUCAAAAUCUUGAGUUUGUAUAAUGAUAUUCUUUUUUUUCUUUAAUUUUGUUACAACGAUGACUAUCCAUUUGAUUCAGCAUGAAUGCCUAACAAAAAGCUGGACAGCUCAAUGAUUAUUUCACCAAAAAGGAGAAAGCUAAAUCCAAUACUCUUCUUAAUCUACCAGGUUUAGAUGAUGUCUUAGUUAUCUGAUCCUCCAUUAGCCUCUCCACGUCUGGUCUCAUAUCAUGAACCAUUUUAACCGACUCAGAGAGACGGUUGAGCAAGUUCACCAGUGCAAUCACCUCAUUACGUUGCAGUUGAAGCUGGAAAAAAACAAUAUUUCAGAUAAUCAAAAUGCUUAUGUUCAAAACGAUGCAUAUACACAUUAAGAAACUCACUGUUUGGUCACCCUCCUUGUCUUGGUUUCCAACAGAGAAGAAUAUUUUCAAUGCUGUCCCUAGACCCUGAACCUGAAGCUUCCCCCAAAGCCGACAUUUUUCACAACCUACACAGUCCAUCAGUGCACUGCAAACACAUACAUAACUUAUGGUUAGCCGACAUAUUAAAGCUCUAUGAGUGUGUCGUUUUCAAGUAAACACAAACCUUAUAUUCCUGAAUUUUUUCUGGAUCUGCUGCUUCAGUUCAGGUCCACCUUGACCUUGCCACAGCUUAGCUUCAUCAAAAGGAACAGGACAUGCUGUUUGGAGUUUCGGACUGUACAACAACUGUUUGAUCAAGGACUGUGUUUUCAGAUCUUCCGCAUGGUUCCCUGUGUCAUACUCUGCUUGCUCCAAGUACUCUGUUGCCUAUACGUUGUAAGAGUCAGUAAAGCUUGUUCAGAUUUGGCAUUUGUCAAAGACCGACAGAAGAGAAGUUAAAGCACGCAGCACAAACAGAUACGUGAAGUACAUGUUUCUGACACGGUCCGGAUGCCUCAGAAUACGAUCAUACAUCAGCUCGAUGUUCUGUCCCCACUGGUUGCGUGACUCGUCAAGAAGAUAAUCACCAGCGAUGUGCGUGGGGAUUGAAGAAUGAAGACCUGAUAUCAGUUUGUACAAAACCUUUUUCUCUGGACAUGUUUCUCCAGACGAAUCUGCAUGUACAAACAUCAUCACAUUACAAGUCUUUCAUCUCACAAUACUAAAAAAAGCGAUGGAGAAGGAGAAACUCACAUUUUGGGCAGUUCUCUGAGUAUAUAGAGUCCCAAAUCCUUCUAGCAGAAGGUCCAGUGUAACCAGUUAAAUUAUGAAUGCAGUUUACAAACAAAAAACAAAAAAAAAGAAAAAAGAAAAAGGAAAAAUAAACACUUUCACUAUGAGAAACUUCACCAUUGCGCUUGUCCUUAACUAGUUUUAAAUCAGUAUCUUAUCAAUAAAGAAGUUGGAGAAAAUUAAACACUUUCGCUAUGAGAAAUUUGAAACUACUAACAAAUGUCAUGGUAAAGUGGUUCACUUAAGCCUUUUUACAUAGUGAAAGUGUUUAUUUUUCUUUUUUCUUUUUUUUUGUUUUUUGUUUGUAAACUGCAUUCAUAAUUUAGAUAAAAGUAUAAAUACUAUAAAAUUUAUGAAAAACUUUUUUCUGAGAUUCCCCAGCAACAAAAAAUGAUUUUUGUUACAACCGAAAAACAAUUUCGAACAUACUAUUGGUCUAACUGAUAAUUAUCUCGGGAAUACUAGAAACAAAUAAGAAAAAAUGGAUGAGAAUAAAAUUAUGGGAAUGAUAAAAAAUGAUAAUUCUAUAUCAAAUUUAGUGAAUUUGUUCUUUACUUUUCUACAAUAAAAAAAUGAGAAAUAGCGAAAGGAAAUAACUAUUCUUUAUGAAUUGGUAAAAUUUAUCAGGAAUAUUAAAGAACACAUUAUUCAUCUUCGUUCUUUUGUCACCAUCUAUAUGUUUUCCAACACAGUUAUACAAACUAAAAAUCCUAAUUUAAUUUGGAACAAAUUAAUAAAAUAAUACAAACUACACCCUGAUCCGCGCGCCAGCGGGGGUAUGAAUUUUCAGUUUUUAAUUAUUUAUUUUAUUAAAUGAUGUAUUUGUAAUAUUCGUUCAUAUUAUAUUCAUUAAGUAAAUAUUUUUUUUUUGCAUCUUAAACUAUCUAUUUUUUUACGAAUGUGUGAUAUCAUAUAAAAAAUAUAAAAAAAUGAGUAUAGAGUUAAUUAGAUAAUUUUAAAAACAGAAAUUUUUCUUUCAUGUGCGAUAUCAUAUAAAUAAUGAUCCGCCCAGUUAACAAAAAUCAUGAUUAUUUUAUGUGUAAUUUUUUUUAUUUUGACCAUUUCCUUAAAACUAUAUUAAAUUUUACAUAUUUUAAUUAGAAUAUUUUUAAUAUCUUUACCUUUUUAUUUGAAAUGCAACUCAAUAUUUUUUUAACAAUUAUAACAAAAUAUUUAAAAAAUAUUUUUAGAAUUUGUUUGAAAAAUAUGAAAAUUAGAUUUGAAAUUAAAAUUAUCCUAAAAUAUGAUAAGUUUUGAUGUAAACGAAAACUCAAAUUAUGUCAAAAAUAAUGAUAUUCAAUGAUAAUAACAAUUUUAAUUGAUUAUUUUUUUAAAAAUACAUUUACAAAAAUGAAAAUAUUAUAAUUAAAUAUAAAAAAUAUAAAUAAAAACCAUAAAUUUAGCAAAUGACAACUGAGUUAUAUUAUGCUAAAAUUUUCUUUCUAACAAUUUAUCAAAUGACAAAUAAGUUAUGAGCAAAUAAUACCAUAUAUUUUUUACAAACAUAGCCAUUCUUAAAUAUUUUAUGAAUAAAUAAUUAUUUUUAAAUUUAAUCAACUGAAAAUAAUAUCCGUACAAUUGUGUGAGUCAAAUUGUAGUUUUAUUGAUGCAUGUUAUAUAUUAGUGCUGCAUGUUUUAGGUAACAUUUUAAUGAUGCACGUUUUUAAAAAUCUCUAUUAUUAAAAUUAUGCACGUAAGGAUAACUCAUGAGUUUUUUUGGUUAAUUAAAAGACAUUAUGUCCAAAUUUAUUUAAAGAUAUUUCAUUAAGAUAAUUGAAAAAGACAAACAAUAAAAUAGGAAGUUUAAAUUCAUUUAAGCAUAUUUCAUUAAUGUAACUGAAAAGACAAGUAAUAAAUUAGGCAGUUUUAUUCGUUUUAGGACAUUUCAUAAAUGCAACUGAAAAAGACAAGCAAAAAAAAAAAGAAAUUUAAUUAAUGAAGUAAGAACAUUUUCAAAUGGAUACUUCUCUUUUAAUAAUAUAGAUAUAAUGAUUUCUUCACUGAAUUAUCUAAAUCAAAUACCAACGCUCUAUGAAUAUCUGGGCCGAUAGAUUUACAUGGUCAAGAGUAGGAAAUUACAAAUCAUCUUAUAUAUUAAAAUAGAAGUCAUGACUUCUUACAUGUGUGAUUUUUUUUUAAUUUGGACCAUCACUUAGAAAUCUUAUUAAACGUAUUUUAUUAAGACUAAUAAUACAUAGAAUCUUUAAAAUACUUUAAUCAUAAUAUCUUAUAUAUUAAAAUAGAAGUCAUGACUUCUUACAUGUGUGAUUUUUUUUUAAUUUGGACCAUCACUUAGAAAUCUUAUUAAACGUAUUUUAUUAAGACUAAUAAUACAUAGAAUCUUUAAAAUACUUUAAUCAUAAUAUCUUAUAUAUUAAAAUAGAAGUCAUGACUUCUUACAUGUGUGAUUUUUUUUUAAUUUGGACCAUCACUUAGAAAUCUUAUUAAACGUAUUUUAUUAAGACUAAUAAUACAUAGAAUCUUUAAAAUACUUUAAUCAUAAUAUAUUUUGAUAUCUUUUCAUUUUAAGUAUAAAUAUAUUUAUUUUAAACUUCUAACAAAUCUGUUUUAAAAGAUUUUUACAAGAUCUUCGUUUUCGAAAUUAUAUUUAAAUAUUUUCACUAAUUUUGAAAUUAGUUUGAAAUAUUAUUAUACAUUAAUAAAUUCAGUAAUCGUUUAUAAAAUAAAAAAUAAAAAAUUCUGUAAUAUUUUAUAUAUUAUAUAAUCAUAAUCAAUCAUAUUAAAAGAAAAUUAUUAUAUUAAGCUAAAUAUAAUAAAAUUAAAUUAAAUUUAUAAAUUUUAUAUAUUUUAUAUAUAUUAUUUUCGUAAGUAUAAAAUAUUUAUGUUCAAAAAUAAAAUCUAAUACGUUGGUAAGAUGGGUUAACAUUAGCAAACUAUAUAAUACAUGUAUAAAAAUUAACAUGUAUUUCUUUAAAGCUUAUAAUAUAAAAUAUUUGUAACUACUUUAACCAUAAUAUAUUUUCAUUUUAAAUAUAAUAUAUAUUUAUAUUUUAUAUUUUAAAAAUUAUAAUAAAUCUGUGUAAAAAUAUUUUAGCAAUAGUUUAAUGUAUUUUAAGUUAUCGUUCAUAAAAUGAAAAAUAAAUAAAUUAUAUCCUAUUAUAUCUAUUUUAUAGUCAUGAUCAUGUUAAAAUACAAUUACUAUACUUAAAUAAAUAUGAUAAAAGUAUAUUCAAUUGAUAAAUUUAUAAAUUUUAUUUUCAUAAAUAUAAAUUAUUUAUUUUAAAAAUAUAAUAUGAUGAUAGAACGGCUUAAAAUUAGCAAACCAUAUAAUACAUGUCUAAAAAUUAACAUAUCUUAGACUUUUGUAUAUACAAUAAUAUAUUAUCUAAAAUGAAUAAGCAUAAAAAAUAUUAGUAAAAAGAAAUACAGCUUUGAAACACGAAUCAUAAUUUAGCAUAAAUUAAAUGCAAAAUAAUUUUCAAAUAUGUUUUCUCAUGAAUAUAUUAAUUUGCUUAAUAACUAAUGCAAAUACAAUAAGAUAAAUAUAUAAUAAGAAAUUAAAAUACAUACGGUUUUAAACAGUUGAUUAAUUAUAACAUGUAAAUUAUAAAAUUAUUGUAUUUGAAAUAGUUAUAUAAACAUUUAAAUAGAUAAUUAAUAUUAAAAAUUUAUAUCUCUAAUAUUUUAAAAUAAUAAUUUAUGUAUAGAAAAGUGAGAACAAACAUCCGCGCAAAUCUAGUUUUCCUUAAUACAAUACUGACCGACGAAGACAAAGACGCCGGCUUUUGCCAACUCUUCGUCGAAACCCUAGAAGGACCGGCUCUUACUUGGUUCACCGGCCUCAUAGAAAACUCCGUCGACUGUUUCCACGACCUCUCAACGGCUUUCCAGAUAAUUAAUAUUAAAAAUUUAUAUCUCUAAUAUUUUAAAAUAAUAAUUUAUGUAUAGAAAAGUGAGAACAAACAUCCGCGCAAAUCUAGUUUUCCUUAAUACAAUAGUCCACUCGAUCAGCUAAAGAAAGCACGUUUGCUCGGACCGAGUUGGGCCGUUUGUCUUAUUAGUUACGAAGUUCUACACAACCCAGUUUAUUUUAGGAUCCCUAUUCGAUUGAUGCCCUAAUCUCGACGUGUCUUCCAAGGCAGUCACUAGAGGCAGUUGAAUGCUUAUUAUUUUGAACACGACAACAGAGAAGAGUUUCUGAUCGUUACAUAGGUCAAAACCGGAACUGAUAUGUAACAGAGAAGACUCGAUCGAUACUCGUUUUUUCAUGAAGGCAUCGUUGGAGGCAAUUGUGUGCUUGCUGAUCUUAGGCUUAUAUAUUGGUCGCGGCUUGGAACAAAGACAAACUUGCAGCAGGAUUGGGUUGGGUGUUCUCGGGACCAGGGUUCGAAGCUCCAAUCAACGGAUCGAUGGUUGAAUCAUCGAUCGGCUCACCACUAAUCGCAGAGGCCUCUGCAAUCAGAUCAACCCUUUGCAUGGCGAUCACCUUGGAAAUUGGUUCUCUCGAGGUGCUCUUCGACGACUUAAUGCUCAUUCGAGCAAUCUCCAGCAUCACUCAGGCGAAGGAAAUCAUCGGUAUAGUGAAAGACAUCCAAUCGAUAUCUACUGAGUUUGCAUCAAUUUCCUUUUCGCACAUCCCACAAUCUCUCAACGCUAUGGCUGAUGCCCUAGCCAAAGAUUCUCUUCGCUGUAAUAAACAUUUUGGGCUUGGGCCCCGCUGGGCUCAUUCUCCAUCUUUUAUUUAAUGAAGCCUUUUAUGUGACAAAAAAAGAGCUUAUAUAUUGGUCCUUCUUCAUGUACUCCCAGAAGCAAAGUUUUGUUGAGAGAUAGGACGAGCAGAGCCGGGCCUGACCACAAGCUGGUCAAGCAUGGGCUUGGGACCAAUAUCUAUAUAAUCAGUUUUGGGGGCCAAUUUGGCAACAGUCUCUGUUUGUUCAGUGGAUGAAUAGGUUGUUUCAUUUGUCAAGGUCAUGGGUUCAAGCCAGCUUAAUAAUAUUUUUGGGGCCAAAUUUUUUUUGACUGCUUCUAACCCUAGAAAAGUGCACGGCCUUGAGGACGAGACACAACUUCAUUUAUUGGUUUAUUUACAUAUAAGAUUUGGUGAUGAGUUUUAUAACAAUGAACAAAAAUAUCGUUAAGAUUGGGUCUUUUAGUUAUUUUCAAUAUCCUUCAGCUGAAUUACAAAGUAGCUAUUGUGUUGUUAAGUAUAGCCAUAGUGUAUAUUUGUGUAGAAAAUACCUGAGGAAAAGCUAAUAGGCGAAGCCAAGAAAAGCUAAUCUUAUGAUAUGAUUAAAACAUUGAAAAUAAUCGUCCAUUUUGCAGAAAAAAGAAAUCUCAAAUGCACACGUGAUUCUCACUGGAGAAUCCUUAAUGCCGUAUGUGUGAGGGUUUUAGUUUCAAGACAAAUACGGAUAUGGUCCACUGAUGCAUAAUGUUUCUGCAUCUUCCUCUCUUCAUAAGUAUAAUUCAUGGAGACCACGUUUUUGCUCUUCCUGGUCUUUGGUUCGUGUCGGUCUCUGGUUAUAAAUCUUGAUUGUGAAUUAUCUGUCGCCACUUAUGUGUCUGCUUGUAAAAGGGAGUGGUUACGUCCAGUAUGUCCCCCCUUCUUCCCGACAUGCUAUGGUGCCCCGGGGUGGGUAGGAGCGGGUCGAGUCCGUAUCGCCGCGGAGCAACAGCCGCGUCCGGAUCAGAUCUAUCUACUCGGCAAUUCAUCCGGUGACUUCACGGUCGCCAAAGAAGCCCCUGGUCUUUGGUUCGUGUCGGUCUCUGGUUAUAAAUCUUGAUUGUGAAUUAUCUGUCGCCACUUAUGUGUCUGCUUGUAAAAAUGUAAAAGUCAUUUUGUGAUUCUUGUUUUAGCUAAUAAAUUAUUUUUAUAGAUAUAGAGAAACGAUUGUGGCUAGAAACAAAAGAUGUUUAAAUUCAUUCGUACGUUGUUUUCACUCAUCCUUAUCUAAGUCUUGUCAUCGUUCGUCUUUGUUUUCUAUGUUAGUUACAAUGGACCACUGUGCAUUUUCCUCGUGCUAAAAAUUGAAAUUCAAAUCAGUUACCAUAGAGUCUAAAGCCUAAAACACCAUCUUCUCAACUCAGCCCUCCCUGUACUAGAAACAAACCCAUAUCACGGGAAUUCAAAUCAGUUACCUUUAGUCUUUUUUACCACACAGGAUUUUUACUGCCACAUGCACCACGCUGUUUUAAAUUUAACCGCAUAAACUUCCUAUAAAUACCCGUACGUUGUGUUUGCUCUCUUCAACUCAACUCACUCAAACCCCAAAACACACACAAAACAAUCAAAAUGAAGACUUUUUUUCUAGUUACUCUCCUGUUGGCUGCAGCUGUCUGCACCCACGGCAGAGAACAGGUGAAGGACUCCAACGGAAAUCCAGUUAAGCGCGGUGCAAAAUACUUCAUCCAGCCGGCUAAGAGCAACGCCGGUGGUCUUGUUCCAGCCGCCAUUAACUUACUUCCGUUUUGUCCACUUGGCAUCACCCAGACACUUCUUCCCUACCAACCGGGCCUGCCGGUUAGCUUCGGAUAUGAGCCAGUUAUUGUCGGCACAGACUACAUUUACACAUCUACCACAAUAAACAUCGAGUUCGAGUCCGACAUCUGGCCCGUAUGCAACGAGCUUUCCAAGUUAUGGGCAGUCGAUGUUUCCUCAUCCGCUGCCAAGGAGCCUGCCAUUAUCAUCGGUGGUGAAAGUACGGCCCCAAAUAGCUUGUUUAAGAUAGAAGAAGCUACAGAAGCAAACACUUACAAGUUGACCACCUCGUACGGAACCGUUGGAACCAUCCCAGGGCCAUGGUUAAGUGCACCACAGCUGAUUGUCACCAAUGAUGAGUCUAAGACCUUAUUCGUCAAGUUCGUGAAAGUUGAUGAUGCUGCUACUAAGGCUACUACUUCUACUUCACGUGUUGAGAAGUUAGGUCUAAAGAUGUUCCCAUUCUACUAGUCAAAAUCAUGUAAUAUUGUAAAAAUCCUGAGACUCGUCCAUGGCCAUGAAUAACGGGUUGAGAUAAUACCCGCACGUAUGUAUGUAAGCUCGUUUUUACUUUCAGAAAAAUCAAAUAAUUUGUGUAUCCGACGCUUCAUGAGACAUACCUUUUACAUUAAAACCAUAUCCGAUAAUCUAGUUCUAAAUUUUCCUGACAUAUCAGCAAAGAUCCUAAAUCCGUUUUUGGUUAAACCUAACCAAUCAAAGUUACACCGUUCAUGAUAUGUAGUCGAUAUAUCCAGAGUUCCAAUCAAGUUUCUCGAAUUUUAUGAAAAACUAUUGUAGCUCUUCUAAAUGACAUUUCAAAAAUCCCAAAUUUCACCAGUAAAAAUUUAGGUCUGGGCGUUCGGGUCUUCGGGUUGGGUUCGGGCCGGUUCUUUUCGGGUCCGGGUCUUUUCGGAUCCUAAAUAUUUAGAUCCAAUAGGUACUUAGAAAUUUUUGGUUCAGGUUCAGGUCGGUUCUUCUCGGGUCCGGAUCUGUUCGGAUCUAUAAUUAAAAUACCCAUAAAAUACCCAUAAUUUUUCGGGUCCAUAUCGGGUCGGGUUCGGGUAUUUAGGAUCUGAAAAAGACAUGAUAUACCCAUAAAAUACCCGUAAAGCUUUAUAUUACUUAAAAAAUGUUAAAAAAUAACAAAUGUUGUUCGCAAAAUAUAUUUCAACUAAAUCAUAAAAUAAUACAUACAAAAUAGAACACAAAAAAUCAUAUUUUUAGAUAUACAUGUUUUUAAGUCGGGUACAAAUCGGUUCUUAUUGGGUCGGGUCUAUUCGGGUCGGUUCCUUUUCGGUUCCGGUUCCAAUUCAAUGUGCUUCGUUCUUCCAUGGAACACUGGAUUACUGGCCAGCUUGAUAGCACUUUGAUUAUCUUCAUAGAUGGUAAUCGAUUUAUUGAUUGGCUCGAACAAUUCUUCAAAGAGUCUUCGAAGCCAUAUACAUUCUUGGGCUGCGAGUGUUGAAGCUUUAUACUCUGCUUUGGUAGUAAACAAUGACACCGUUACUUGCUUCUUACUGCACCAUGAAAUGCUUGUGUCUCCACAUAAGAACACAAAACCCGAAGUUGAUUUUCGAUCAUCUAAAUCUCCACCAAAGUCAGCAUCUGUGAAACCAUAUAGAGAAACCUUGGCAUUAUACUUGUACAUCAGUCCCAUGCCAAGAGUUGUCUUCACAUACUUAAAUUUCUUCUUUGCCGCUUCUAGAUGUGGCUUCCUUGGUUCCUGCAUGAACCGGCUUACAAGACUAACCGCAAAGGCAAUAUCUGGUCUUGUAAUGGUUAAGUAUAGAAGACUUCCAACAAGAGAGCGAUAAGGUCGAGGAUUGGCUAACAAGGAUCCUUCAUCGCGUUUGAGCCUUAUGUUAGUAUCUAGUGGAGUAGAACGUACCUUUCCUUGGUGUACUCCAAACCUGUCAACAAUCCUUUUUGCAUAACCUUGUUGGCCGAUGAAUAUUCCAUCCUUUACCCUCUCGACCUCUAGACCAAGAAAGUGAUUCAGCUCGCCUAACUUCUUCAUCUCAAACCUCACCGACAUAUCCUCUUGUAGACGAGCAAUUUCAGCAUCGUCAUUUCCAGUAAUGAUCAUAUCAUCCACGUAGAGGAGAACUACUACAUGAACUCUUCCACUUCUCUUGAAGAAUAGGCUUGGAUCAGCACUUGAUGCAAUAUAACCGCAAAACUGAAGGAAUUGAGCAAGCUUUCCAUACCAAGCUCGUGGAGCUUGUUUUAACCCGUACAAGGCCUUCUUUAGCUUGCACACAUGGUUAGGAUACUCUUGUGAUUCAAAACCAGGUGGUUGCUCCAUAAAUACUUCUUUAUCAAGCUCACCAUAGAGAAAAACAUUCUUCACAUCUAACUGCCAUAAUUUCCAUCCAAAGCUUGCAGCUAAAGAUAAGAGUGAGCGUACCGUAGUCAUCUUUGCUAUUGUCUGAAGGUCUCAUCAUAAUCUUCUCCGUACUUCUGAGAGAACCCUUGAGCAACCAACCUUGCUUUGUAUCUAUCAAUGCUCCCAUCUGAUUUUCGCUUUAGUCGAUACACCCAUUUACAAGAAACAGGCUGAGCAUCCUUGGGUUUCGGAACCAAAUUCCAAGUUUUGAUUUUCAUGAGAGCAUUAAUCUCCUCCUUCAUUGCGAUCAUCUAUUCCUCAACUCCUUUUGAUUUUUCAUAAGAUGAUGGUUCAUUUUCAUCUAGAGGAGCCGCAAAGUAACAAGAGUAAUUGGUGACGAACCUUUCAUCUCUGAACCGAGCGGGUUUGACAAUGUUCCUUUUUGAUCGUUGAUUGGCGACAGAACCAUGAUCAUGCUCUUCUUCGUCGUGGUCAAGUGCAUACGUGAUUCUCACUGGAGCAACCAAGGACCAGAGUAUAAGGGACAUGUGUCUUGCAACUGUGUAAUCCUUGAUGCCGUAUGUGUGAUUCUAAUCUCCGGAAACUGAGGAUAUGGUCCACUAAUGAUAGACAUUGUUUUUACUCGCUUCCUGUCGUUCUCUGGUUAUAAAUCUUGAUUGUGAAUUUUCUGUCGUCACUUAUUUGUUUGCUUGUAGAAAUCAUUUUGUGAUACUUGUUUUAGCUAAUAAUUUUUUUAAAAAUAAAAUUUAGAUAAACGAUUGUGGCUAGAAGCAAAGAUGUUGACAUUCAUUUGUUCGUUGUUUCACUCAUUCCUUAUCUAUCUGCUAUGAAAUCUUAUCUUCUUCCCAUGAGUUAUGGUUCGUCUUUGUUUUCUAUGCUAGUUCGUCGUGCUAAAAAAUCGAAGUUCCGAUCAGUUACCGUAGAUGGGGAAUAAAGAGCCAAAAAAGUAUUUAAAGCUGAUAGAUACCUUUAGGUUUUAUUUACCACAGGAUUUUUUUUGAACUGUCACAUGCACCACACAGUUUUAAAACUUAACCGCAGAAUCAGAUCUCUUAGAAAUACAAAGAGUUUAUAAGAACAACUUUUCUUAUUAGCUUUAGAAACUACUCAAAACUAAAGCUCUCAAUAUGUUUCUCUCAGAUCAUAUGGAACACCUCUCCAUUAGACCUAUAUUUAUAUGAAAGAAAAUUCCCUUUAACAUGUGGGAUAUGGAAAACACAAACCUAACUUAAAUAGAAACUUCCUUUUCCUAUUUCUAGGUUUCCUUAUUGUGUUUAUCUUAACAUAUUAAACAUCUAAUAAUAUGUUAAGUUUCCACAAGCUUGGAAUUAUCCAACAUUCACCCCCUUAAUUCCAACUUGAAUUAGGGAGAUCAAUUUCUUGAACUCCGAUUAAGCUCCUCAUUUGCUUGAACUCAAUCAUCAAGUAAUCAUCCUCCACCACACCAUGGUGUGCGAAUCCACCCAUUGAAUUCACAUCUUUCUCAAGGUUAGACCGGAUGCUCUCCUCGCUUCCGUACCGCCUCUUCUUAGAAUUGGCCCAGUUCUUGUAGAACCUUCUCCUGACCUCUUCACUUAAGUUGCGAUGAGUCUUGUGGCUGAAGCUCACUGCGACGAUAACUCUGGUCACGUCCGCCAUCUUGCGUACGUGAGCUCUGGUAAGGAUGUCGGCCUUCUGCUCAACACAAGUGAUUCAGUCGAUACAGAGGUGCGCUUGAAGUGGGGGGUGUGCUGUCCCUAUUGGAGGAACCCCUUCCCCAUAAGGCCCCACCGUCGGGGCAUAAGCGCCCUCUUGCUACCCAUACGCGAGGCGCCGUCUUAGCCUUCCCUGACCAGGAUCGCUCCCACACCUGUAGCGUUCGUGAUCGGCCUACUCAACUGUGUAUCGAUUGAAGGGCAGGAAUUUCCCACAACCAAAGGGAGUGGUUACGUCCAGUAUGUCCCCCCUUCUUCCCGACAUGCUAUGGUGCCCCGGGGUGGGUAGGAGCGGGUCGAGUCCGUAUCGCCGCGGAGCAACAGCCGCGUCCGGAUCAGAUCUAUCUACUCGGCAAUUCAUCCGGUGACUUCACGGUCGCCAAAGAAGCCCCUGGUCUUUGGUUCGUGUCGGUCUCUGGUUAUAAAUCUUGAUUGUGAAUUAUCUGUCGCCACUUAUGUGUCUGCUUGUAAAAAUGUAAAAGUCAUUUUGUGAUUCUUGUUUUAGCUAAUAAAUUAUUUUUAUAGAUAUAGAGAAACGAUUGUGGCUAGAAACAAAAGAUGUUUAAAUUCAUUCGUACGUUGUUUUCACUCAUCCUUAUCUAAGUCUUGUCAUCGUUCGUCUUUGUUUUCUAUGUUAGUUACAAUGGACCACUGUGCAUUUUCCUCGUGCUAAAAAUUGAAAUUCAAAUCAGUUACCAUAGAGUCUAAAGCCUAAAACACCAUCUUCUCAACUCAGCCCUCCCUGUACUAGAAACAAACCCAUAUCACGGGAAUUCAAAUCAGUUACCUUUAGUCUUUUUUACCACACAGGAUUUUUACUGCCACAUGCACCACGCUGUUUUAAAUUUAACCGCAUAAACUUCCUAUAAAUACCCGUACGUUGUGUUUGCUCUCUUCAACUCAACUCACUCAAACCCCAAAACACACACAAAACAAUCAAAAUGAAGACUUUUUUUCUAGUUACUCUCCUGUUGGCUGCAGCUGUCUGCACCCACGGCAGAGAACAGGUGAAGGACUCCAACGGAAAUCCAGUUAAGCGCGGUGCAAAAUACUUCAUCCAGCCGGCUAAGAGCAACGCCGGUGGUCUUGUUCCAGCCGCCAUUAACUUACUUCCGUUUUGUCCACUUGGCAUCACCCAGACACUUCUUCCCUACCAACCGGGCCUGCCGGUUAGCUUCGGAUAUGAGCCAGUUAUUGUCGGCACAGACUACAUUUACACAUCUACCACAAUAAACAUCGAGUUCGAGUCCGACAUCUGGCCCGUAUGCAACGAGCUUUCCAAGUUAUGGGCAGUCGAUGUUUCCUCAUCCGCUGCCAAGGAGCCUGCCAUUAUCAUCGGUGGUGAAAGUACGGCCCCAAAUAGCUUGUUUAAGAUAGAAGAAGCUACAGAAGCAAACACUUACAAGUUGACCACCUCGUACGGAACCGUUGGAACCAUCCCAGGGCCAUGGUUAAGUGCACCACAGCUGAUUGUCACCAAUGAUGAGUCUAAGACCUUAUUCGUCAAGUUCGUGAAAGUUGAUGAUGCUGCUACUAAGGCUACUACUUCUACUUCACGUGUUGAGAAGUUAGGUCUAAAGAUGUUCCCAUUCUACUAGUCAAAAUCAUGUAAUAUUGUAAAAAUCCUGAGACUCGUCCAUGGCCAUGAAUAACGGGUUGAGAUAAUACCCGCACGUAUGUAUGUAAGCUCGUUUUUACUUUCAGAAAAAUCAAAUAAUUUGUGUAUCCGACGCUUCAUGAGACAUACCUUUUACAUUAAAACCAUAUCCGAUAAUCUAGUUCUAAAUUUUCCUGACAUAUCAGCAAAGAUCCUAAAUCCGUUUUUGGUUAAACCUAACCAAUCAAAGUUACACCGUUCAUGAUAUGUAGUCGAUAUAUCCAGAGUUCCAAUCAAGUUUCUCGAAUUUUAUGAAAAACUAUUGUAGCUCUUCUAAAUGACAUUUCAAAAAUCCCAAAUUUCACCAGUAAAAAUUUAGGUCUGGGCGUUCGGGUCUUCGGGUUGGGUUCGGGCCGGUUCUUUUCGGGUCCGGGUCUUUUCGGAUCCUAAAUAUUUAGAUCCAAUAGGUACUUAGAAAUUUUUGGUUCAGGUUCAGGUCGGUUCUUCUCGGGUCCGGAUCUGUUCGGAUCUAUAAUUAAAAUACCCAUAAAAUACCCAUAAUUUUUCGGGUCCAUAUCGGGUCGGGUUCGGGUAUUUAGGAUCUGAAAAAGACAUGAUAUACCCAUAAAAUACCCGUAAAGCUUUAUAUUACUUAAAAAAUGUUAAAAAAUAACAAAUGUUGUUCGCAAAAUAUAUUUCAACUAAAUCAUAAAAUAAUACAUACAAAAUAGAACACAAAAAAUCAUAUUUUUAGAUAUACAUGUUUUUAAGUCGGGUACAAAUCGGUUCUUAUUGGGUCGGGUCUAUUCGGGUCGGUUCUUUUCGGGUCCGGGUCUAUUCGGGUCGGUUCCUUUUCGGUUCCGGUUCCAAUUCAAUGUGCUUCGUUCUUCCAUGGAACACUGGAUUACUGGCCAGCUUGAUAGCACUUUGAUUAUCUUCAUAGAUGGUAAUCGAUUUAUUGAUUGGCUCGAACAAUUCUUCAAAGAGUCUUCGAAGCCAUAUACAUUCUUGGGCUGCGAGUGUUGAAGCUUUAUACUCUGCUUUGGUAGUAAACAAUGACACCGUUACUUGCUUCUUACUGCACCAUGAAAUGCUUGUGUCUCCACAUAAGAACACAAAACCCGAAGUUGAUUUUCGAUCAUCUAAAUCUCCACCAAAGUCAGCAUCUGUGAAACCAUAUAGAGAAACCUUGGCAUUAUACUUGUACAUCAGUCCCAUGCCAAGAGUUGUCUUCACAUACUUAAAUUUCUUCUUUGCCGCUUCUAGAUGUGGCUUCCUUGGUUCCUGCAUGAACCGGCUUACAAGACUAACCGCAAAGGCAAUAUCUGGUCUUGUAAUGGUUAAGUAUAGAAGACUUCCAACAAGAGAGUGAUAAGGUCGAGGAUUGGCUAACAAGGAUCCUUCAUCGCGUUUGAGCCUUAUGUUAGUAUCUAGUGGAGUAGAACGUACCUUUCCUUGGUGUACUCCAAACCUUUCAACAAUCCUUUUUGCAUAACCUUGUUGGCCGAUGAAUAUUCCUUCCUUUACCCUCUCGACCUCUAGACCAAGAAAGUGAUUCAGCUCGCCUAACUUCUUCAUCUCAAACCUCACCGACAUAUCCUCUUGUAGACGAGCAAUUUCAGCAUCGUCAUUUCCAGUAAUGAUCAUAUCAUCCACGUAGAGGAGAACUACUACAUAAGCUCUUCCACUUCUCUUGAAGAAUAGGCUUGGAUCAGCACUUGAUGCAAUAUAACCGCAAAACUGAAGGAAUUGAGCAAGCUUUCCAUACCAAGCUCGUGGAGCUUGUUUUAACCCGUACAAGGCCUUCUUUAGCUUGCACACAUGGUUAGGAUACUCUUGUGAUUCAAAACUAGGUGGUUGCUCCAUAAAUACUUCUUUAUCAAGCUCACCAUAGAGAAAAACAUUCUUCACAUCUAACUGCCAUAAUUUCCAUCCAAAGCUUGCAGCUAAAGAUAAGAGUGAGCGUACCGUAGUCAUCUUUGCUAUUGUCUGAAGGUCUCAUCAUAAUCUUCUCCGUACUUCUGAGAGAACCCUUGAGCAACCAACCUUGCUUUGUAUCUAUCAAUGCUCCCAUCUGAUUUUCGCUUUAGUCGAUACACCCAUUUACAAGAAACAGGCUGAGCAUCCUUGGGUUUCGGAACCAAAUUCCAAGUUUUGAUUUUCAUGAGAGCAUUAAUCUCCUCCUUCAUUGCGAUCAUCUAUUCCUCAACUCCUUUUGAUUUUUCAUAAGAUGAUGGUUCAUUUUCAUCUAGAGGAGCCGCAAAGUAACAAGAGUAAUUGGUGACGAACCUUUCAUCUCUGAACCGAGCGGGUUUGACAAUGUUCCUUUUUGAUCGUUGAUUGGCGACAGAACCAUGAUCAUGCUCUUCUUCGUCGUGGUCAAGUGCAUACGUGAUUCUCACUGGAGCAACCAAGGACCAGAGUAUAAGGGACAUGUGUCUUGCAACUGUGUAAUCCUUGAUGCCGUAUGUGUGAUUCUAAUCUCCGGAAACUGAGGAUAUGGUCCACUAAUGAUAGACAUUGUUUUUACUCGCUUCCUGUCGUUCUCUGGUUAUAAAUCUUGAUUGUGAAUUUUCUGUCGUCACUUAUUUGUUUGCUUGUAGAAAUCAUUUUGUGAUACUUGUUUUAGCUAAUAAUUUUUUUAAAAAUAAAAUUUAGAUAAACGAUUGUGGCUAGAAGCAAAGAUGUUGACAUUCAUUUGUUCGUUGUUUCACUCAUUCCUUAUCUAUCUGCUAUGAAAUCUUAUCUUCUUCCCAUGAGUUAUGGUUCGUCUUUGUUUUCUAUGCUAGUUCGUCGUGCUAAAAAAUCGAAGUUCCGAUCAGUUACCGUAGAUGGGGAAUAAAGAGCCAAAAAAGUAUUUAAAGCUGAUAGAUACCUUUAGGUUUUAUUUACCACAGGAUUUUUUUUGAACUGUCACAUGCACCACACAGUUUUAAAACUUAACCGCAGAAUCAGAUCUCUUAGAAAUACAAAGAGUUUAUAAGAACAACUUUUCUUAUUAGCUUUAGAAACUACUCAAAACUAAAGCUCUCAAUAUGUUUCUCUCAGAUCAUAUGGAACACCUCUCCAUUAGACCUAUAUUUAUAUGAAAGAAAAUUCCCUUUAACAUGUGGGAUAUGGAAAACACAAACCUAACUUAAAUAGAAACUUCCUUUUCCUAUUUCUAGGUUUCCUUAUUGUGUUUAUCUUAACAUAUUAAACAUCUAAUAAUAUGUUAAGUUUCCACAAGCUUGGAAUUAUCCAACAUUCACCCCCUUAAUUCUAACUUGAAUUAGGGAGAUCAAUUUCUUGAACUCCGAUUAAGCUCCUCAUUUGCUUGAACAUAAUCCUCAAGUAAUCCUCCUUCACCACACAAUGGUGUGCGAAUCCACCCAUUGAAUUCACAUCUUUCUCAAGGUUAGACCGGAUGCUCUCCUCGCUUCCGUACCGCCUCUUCUUAGAAUUGGCCCAGUUCUUGUAGAACCUUCUCCUGACCUCUUCACUUAAGUUGCGAUGAGUCUUGUGGCUGAAGCUCACUGCGACGAUAACUCUGGUCACGUCCGCCAUCUUGCGUACGUGAGCUCUGGUAAGGAUGUCGGCCUUCUGCUCAACACCCAACAGUUUUAUCUCUGGUUCGUCUUCAGCCUUUGAGAACCUUGACUCCAUUGGUACGUGCGUUGUGUUACACGCUUCCACCUUUGUGUCACACACUCCUAUGUGAGUCGUGUUACACGCUUCCAUCCGUGUGUCACAUACCCGUGUAUAUUUAACACCAGCCGAUCUAUCCACAGGCUCACACGUCUUGUUUCUUGUGAUAGAAUCCACCUCGGCUGCCAUAGCUUCAAAUAUAUUCUCUUCACCGAAUAGAUUGAACUCAUGUGAGGCAAACUCUCCUCCUCUAUUGGUGCAUCCUAGAAUGAACAUAGCUGAGGUAACUUCUCCUCCUCUAUCGGUGCAACCUAGAUUGAACAUAACUGAGGCAAGCUCUCCUCCUUUAUCGGUGUGAAAUCUUUUGAACCAAUAGAAUGCCUCACGAUUAUCUGCUGGCGUUGGUGGUGCGAUUCGCCCACAUCAAUCUCCAUGCAGUAACUCCUUCAUCGUCAUCGACAAAACCUGGAAGUUUAUCAAUGACAACAUCAAACAAUGGAUGGAUGUAGAUCCAAAGUCUUUGAUGCGAGGCGCAGCUGUAGUCACGUCGGCCAUCUGCUUUCGUGAUCUCUCCUCAUGUCGCCAUGAUCUAAGCUUCAUCUUAAGCUUAGAUUCGAGUCUCCAACUUGAGGCUCUUUAAUGAUGGUAACGGCCCAACCUGGCUCUGAUACCAAUUCAGAUCUCUUAGAAACACAAAAAGUUAUAAGAACAACUUAUCUUAUUAGCUUUAGAAACUACUCAAAACUAAAGCUCUCAAUAUGUUUCACUUAGAUCAUAUGGAACACCUCUCCAUUAGACCUAUAUUUAUAUGAAAGACAAUUCCCUUUAACAUGUGGGAUAUGGAAAACACAAAUCUAACCUAAAUAGAAAUUUUCUUUUCCUAUUUCUAGGUUUCCUUAUUGUGUUUAUCUUAACAUAUUAAACAUCUAAUAAUAUGUUAAGUUUCCACAAGCUUGGAAUUAUCCAACACAGAAACUUCCUAUAAAUACUUGUACAAUGUGUGUUGCACUCCACAACUCAACUCACUAAAAUCCCAAAAACACACAAAAAAAAAAUUAAAAAAUAAUGAAGAAGCCUUCGGUGACCUCUUUUCUCAUCACUCUCCUCUUGUCUGCAGCUGUCGGCGCCCACGGCACUGCAGAAAUCAACGAAACUCCAGUCAAGGUCGGGGAAAAAUACUUCAUGCUGCCGGUUAAGACAGAGAAAAACGAUGGAGGCAGGGGCGUGCCUUGACACAGCUAGUUGAAAUAAGGGUUUAGGGCCCCCAUUUUUUUAAGGCCCCCAUUUAAAAAAAAAUAAAUUAUUUUUCAUAAUUAUUUUUUGUAUUCAUUGUUAUGUAUAAUAAAAAGAAAAUAAUAAUAUCAACUGAACUAAAAAUCAGUUUACUAUUAUUAUGUCAAUGAAAAAACAAAAGAAAAAUAUUAGUAAAAAUAUCUAUCUAUAUUAAUAAAAUAUGGUUUUCUCUCACUUUAGCCCUCCACGUCAUCAGGAAGGAGGGUGCGUUUUUAGACACGUGGCAUUCUAUCAUUAACAACAUUAAGCUGCUAUAUCACGGUGAGUUGUUUAUUUGGGCUUUGUGUGCUGAUCUGAGGAAUGUGAUGGGCUAUUAUUGUUUUCCCUUAAGAAGUCUAUGUAAUAUUAGUGUUUGCUUUAUUCUCGCUUCUGUCGCUUGAGAGUCUCUACACAUCUCACAACCACAGGGUUUCGUCUCUGAAACGGCUUCCGUUAUUCAGAUACAUUAAUUUCUCCCACUUUUUUUCGAAUUAAAUCAGCCAUAGCUAAAUCAAAAGAAUUAAAUCAGCCAUAGCUAAAUCCAAGGCAACCGACUGAAACUUCUCCUUUAAAUGUCUUCAUUGUUUGGGAUGGACAGCCCCAACGAAACGAAAUCCCAAAGUCUUUCUCUGUCAAGCAUCAAAUCCAUCAAUGGUGAAUUCAUUUGCAACAGAUAUCACCUCCGAUGAAACUCAUCACUACGAUGAGAAGUGUUGUGUUUCAUCAAAGGAUAUUUCUUUGAUAUUGGUAAGUUAUUGUUCCUUUUGCUUUUUGAUUAAUUUAUACUUUCCAACUGUGAUUGAUUGAUUCUUUGUGUUUGAUGUAAUUUGCUAGCUUGCUUUGAUCACAUGUGCACUAGAACAUCCUCCAAGAACUUGCAUUGAUGACAGCUCUCUCAUUCCGUAAGCUCCAAAUCUCUCUUUGUCUCUUUGAUAUUAAUCAGACCUUUUUUGGCUUAUUAUCUUACUAAGAUUCUCUAUUUAUUUUUGAGUCUGUCUCCUUUUCAAGGUUGUGUUUUGUCCGGAGGUGUUAAUGGUCUGACUGAAUUUGCUUAUUCUUUUGUUUUCGUUUUGUUUUCUGAAUCAUUGUCGCUUGAAAUUGUAUUGUUUUUAGUGUUUUCAACUUUUCAUCUUCUGCAAUUUGUAUAUGUCGUGUUCUGUCAUACGUGAACAUGGUCUGUGAUAUAAUGCAGAAUUCAAUCUUAAGCUCUAUUGCAAAGUACGAGAAUCCGACCAUUUUUCACUGAGCUCGGUACCAUGGAUGUAAGUUUUCUCUCCUGUCUUUUGUCUUAAGUAUAAUAUCCGGCUAAAAAAGACUGACACAAAAGCUGCUAGCGAUUCCCAUUUCCAACAACUGAAUAGGCUGUUGUCACUUUUGAACAAAGAUCCAGCUAACGUGGAGAAACCGAGAUGCCAUAUUUAAGCGGCUACAGUUGUAUGGAGCUAGCCUAAUCAGAGAUUGAAGCAAUCAGAUGGUCCAAGUGAAACUGACAUCAUAUGCCGACUUUUUUUGCUUUGUUGCAGUACAUAUCCGAAAUAAAGGUAAAGUCUCUGUGUGUGUAAUCUGAGAUAAAGAUUGGAUGGUGGGAAAGAGGACAUGAGGGGGAAUGAUGAGGCUGCUCAUGGUUCUAAUCCGUUUGAUGUAUCGUGUUCAUGCCUUUGUGUUGAUCAUUCUGUUUAUGUACAACUUUUGAAACAUAGAGUGUGAGUAUGAUCUCAAGACGUGUAGACUUUUACAAUGAGUUCUACUCCUAUAACUUACCUGAUUAUUUUUUUCAUCUUGAUGAUCUCUUGAAUUCAAUUGUAUAUGGGGUGAUAGUGUAAGUUGUUCACAAUCACAUGUGCCAUUGAGAAUGAUGUGUCUUUUGCGAAUCUCUUGCAAAUGUGUGUGGUGAAUUGUUAUUGAAUGCUUUUUUUUUUGCCAUCUUCUGAUUCUCUUCUACUCCAGACAAUGUUUCCAACAAGCAUUAUCUUGGACCUGUGCAAUUAGAAGACAUGGCAAGGUAAACACUUAGCCUCUCCAUGUCAACUUUUAUUGAUAAAACACUUAGCCAUCUUCUGAUUCUCUUCUUUUUCAGGUUACAAAUGCAAACUGGAACAGCCUCAAAAUAUUUUUUUCCCGCUAGAGAUCCAAAGCUCUCUUUUUUCACAUGUUUAAUUUUUUUUUGUAGCCUUUACAUUGAUAAUCACUCCUCAAUAGAGGAAUGAAAUAAUAGACAGUGAUAUCGUGACACCAAACGUUAAGUGAAAUUUUACUUAUAAACACUUCUAUCAUAUAAAAAAUAUUCGACAAUAUGCAAGUACAACUAAACGAAUAACAAUUUUAAAUCAAUAGAAAUACAUGGGGGAAUCUAUAAAAUAUAGAAUCUGAAAAUAUUUUAUUUUUAUUAAGUUUUAAAAUGAUUUUGGAAGAUUUAAAAAUACUCUGAUUUAAGUUUAACUACUCUAGAAUCUCAUUUAUAAUUAUAAGAUUUAUUCUUUAGUUUAAACUAAAAACUUGACUAAAAACACUUUACAAUGACUGAAAACUACUACAAAUCACAACUUCUAAAUAUUUCAAGACAGUUAAAUAGUUUAUAAAAUAAAAAUCCAAUAACACUUUAAAAUUAAUGUUUAAAUAACAAAUGAUUAGUCAUUUUAAUUUAAAUUACCUCAAACUUCCAAUUAAAUAGACCUCUUCAAUUAACCAUGGUUUUAUAAUUCUAAAAGUAUAUUAUAAAACUAUGUGUACAAAAAUAUAUCUAUGAUUCUAAUAAAUUUUAAAAAAGUUUGCAAAGAAACCAUCAACUAAAAACAAAGUGAAAUUCAUCAAUUUAAGCAAUAAAAUGACAAAUUCUAAGCAAUUGUUAUCUGCUUUAAUGGUCUACAAUUUUUUGGUUGAUUACUAUUAUUGAAAAAUGAUUUUUUUUUUAUGAACUAAUAACUCUAUAAGUUUCUAUAGUCUGAGCAUUAUUAAUUUAUACAUUUUUUUACUGUAUGUGUAUUUGUCUACUUUCUUAAGCAAAUAGUUUACCGAUAUACACAUUAACACUACAUAAUUAAACGCUAAAGUGAACUAUUUUCUGUCUAGCAUAAAAAGUUAAUAACUUCCAUAAGGAAAUAUUAUUACACUUUAAAAAAAUAGCUGCAUCUACAUAAAUUGAUACAGCAGUUGAAUAUCAAAUUAAACAACAAUACCACCAAAAAAUAUUCAAAUCUAAAUAAUACAAAAGCCAAACAAUCCGCGCGUAGCGCGAAAACACCACUAGUUUAAAAUAAAAUAGAUCUAUAGUUAAAGAGUUAUUCUUGGGUUCAACCAAUAGGAUUUCAUUGUUUCAAAUUUGAUAUCUUUUAAAAUAGGAAACAAAAUAUUGUCAAGUUAUAUUAUUUUUUAAAAUAAAAAAGUAAAACAAAAUAGUAUUUUCAGCAAACACUAAACCCUAAAUCCUAAUCCCUAAACCCUAAACCUUUGGGUAAAUUCUAAACCCUUGGGUAAACUCUAAACCCUUGGAUAAAUCCUAAACUCUAAAUAAAAAAAAUACUAAACACUAAAACUCUAAACCCUAAAUCCUAAACCCUAAACCCUUUUGUGUUUUAGUGUUUAGUGAUAUUGAUUUAGAGUUUAGGAUUUAUCUAAGGGUUUAGGGUUUACCCAAGGGUUUAAGAUUUAGUAUUUAGGGUUUAGGAUUAUGAUUUAGGGUUUAGUGUUUUGCCGACUACGUUAAAAAUAUAUUUUUUGUAAUUAGUAUUAUUUUUUUAUCUUUUUUUUACCUUUUAAUUUAAAAAACAUAAUAUAAUUUGAUAAUAUUUUGUUUUCUUUUUUAAAAGAUAUUGAAUAUGAAAUAACACAAUACUAUUGGUUGGUGAACCUCUACAGAUCCCAAGAAUAAGUCAUAGUUAAAUAGGCCCCCAAUUUUUAUUUUUUUUGUCAAUGGCCCCCAUACCGACAGGGACGCCCCUGGAGUGGUCUUGUUCCAGCCGCCACCAACAUACUUCCCUCUUGUCCACUUGGCAUCACCCAAACACGUCUUCCGAACCAACGGGGCAUCCCCGUUAGCUUCCGAUAUACAGAAACUAUCGACAGAGACUUCAUUACCACAGACACCUCUAUAAACAUCGAGUUCAUGUCGAUGACUCCUCAUCUGCCAUUAUCAUCGGUGGUAAACACAAGAGCCCAAAUAGCGCGUUUAAGAUACAAAAUGUUACGGUAGAAGAACACACUUAUAAGUUGACCACCUCAUACGGAACCGUUGGAACUACCCCACCGCAGCUGCUUGUCACCAAUGAUGAGUCUAAGACCUUAGUCGUCCAGUUCGUGAAGGCUGAUGAUGCUACUAAGGCUACUACUACUACUUCUCGUGUUGAGAAGUUAGGUCUAAGGAUGUUCCCAUUCUACUAGUCAAGAUCAAGAUCAUGAAAUGUAAAAAUCCUUGAGACUCGUCCAUGGCCCGCACGUAUAUAUGUGAAAUCGUCUUUACUUUCAUAACUAAAUCAAUUAAGUUUGUGUUUUCCGGCGCUUUAUGUAAACACCCGCACGUCUGUAUGUGAACUCGUCUUUACUUUCAUAAUAAAUCAAAUAAGUUUGUGUUUUCCGACGCUUUAUAUGAGAUUGAGGUGGGGGCUCCGGGUACUCAUUCGGAUUUGGUUUAGAUCUAUUCGGGUUUUGAAUUUUUGGCGUGAAAGAUUUCAGUCUCAUUCGGAUAUUUCUAAAUUUCGGUUUUAAUAUUUGUGGGUUCGGUUCGGGGUCAAAGAUUUCAGCCCCAUUGGGAUAAUCUUUUAAUUUCGGUGCGGUUUAGAUCUUUGCGGGUUUGGAUAACUCAUUUAAAUUAUUUUUAAAAUUUUAAAAUUCAUUAUAUACUUCAGAUUUUUCAAAAUCUAUAAACAAAAUAAUAUAUUAUGAAUAACAUAUGUAAAAAUAACAUAUAAAUUGGUUUGGUUUGAAUCUUUGAAUAUAUAUUUCAAAUAUAUUUGGUGUGAGUAUAUUUUAAUUAUUGUAGACAUUUAUUUUUGACUAUUUGUAUAUAUUUUUAAUUAUUUUAGAUAACUUAAAAGUAUCUUAUAUAUUUUGGAUGUUUUUAAUAUACAUUAAAUUUAAAAAUAAUCAAUAUAUUAAGGUAUAUAAGCCUAUUUCGGAUUUAUUCAGGUACAUGAAAUACUUCGAUUCGGAUUCGGUUCUCUAGAUGCCAGAAUUUUGAAUCCGUUUGGAUGUUUCAUCAAUUUCAGUUCGGAUUAAGUACUAUUUUUUCGGAUCAGGUUCGAUUCGGUUUUUCGGAUUCAGAGUUUUUGCCCAGCUCUAAUAUGUCAUAUCCAGUAAUCUAGUUCUAAAUUCUCAUGUCAUAUGCAUAUCACCAAAGAUCCUAAAUCCAUUUUUGGUUAAAUCUAACCAAUCAAAGUUAAAUUGAAUUCGAAGCCCCUUAUCUUUAUUUGCCCUUUUAAACUACACCGUACAUGAUACGGAAAACUAUUGUAACUCUGUACUUGAUGACAUUUCAAAAAUGCCAAAUUACACUAGAAAAAAGACAUGAAAUUUUGCAUUCUUGUUGUUUUCUAAACAUUUGAAAUGAUUUGGUUUUCAUUCAAGAACAGAGACUGUCAUUACCAUUAAUCCAGGUUUGGAGAGAAGCAACAGAGUCUUGAAGUCUAAUGUGCAAGAAGAGACUAAAAGCUCCGUUUUUAUGUUUAUGUUGGAAUCUUUACCUCAAGAGUCUCUAUUUUUCUUCUGUUUUAUAACUUUAUCAAAAUCUUUUGGCUGAGUUUGUAUAAUGAUAUUCUUUUUUUUUCUUUAAUUUUGUUACAACGAUGACUAUCCAUUUGAUUCAGCAUGAAUGCCUAAAAGCUGGACAGCUCAAUGAUUAUUUCACCAGAAGGAGAAAGCUAAAUCCAAAACUCUUCUUAAUCUACCAGGUUUAGCUGAUGUCUUAGCUAUCUGAUCCUCCAUUAGCCUCUCCACGUCUGGUCCCAUAUCGUGAACCAUUUUAACCGACUCAGAGAGACGGUUGAGCAAGUUCACCAGUGCAAUCACCUCAUUACGUUGCAGUUGCAGCUGGAAAAAAAAAGAGAAGAAAACAUUACAGAUCAUCAAUGCUUACGUACAAGACAAAGCAUGUCAAGAAACUCACUGUUUGGUCACCCUCCUUGUCUUGAUUUCCAACAGAGAAGAGGAUCUUCAACGCUGUCCCUAGACCCUGAACCUGAAGCUUCCCCCAAAGCCGACACUUUUCACAACCUACACAAUCCAUCAGUGCACUGCAAAACACAUACAUAACUUACUUAGCUAGCCGACAUAUUAAGCUCUAUAUGAGUGUGUCUCGAGAAACAUAAGACCGAACCUUAUGUUCCUGAAUUGUUUCUGAAUCUGCUGUUUCAGUUCAGGUCCACCUUGACCUUGCCAGAGCUUAGCUUCAUCAAACGGAACAGGACACGCUGUUUGGAGUUUAGGACUGUACAACAGUUGUUUAAUCAAUGACUGUGUUUUCAGAUCUUCCGCAUGGUUCCCUGUGUCAUACUCUGCUUGCUCCAAGUACUCUGUUGCCUAUACACGUUGCAAGAGUCAGUAGCAUUGUUCAGAUUCGGCAUGUCAAAGACCGACAUGAAGAGAAGUUUAACUCACUUUAGUUACAGCACGUAGGACAAAUAGAUACGUGAAGUACAUGUUUCUGACACGGUCCGGAUGUCUCAGGAUACGAUCAUACAUCAGCUCGAUGUUCUGUCCCCACUGCAUUUCAAAGCAAAACAUGUCACAGUCAUGACUCAACAAGAAGAGAUACAAUAUCAGAAACACACAAACCUGGUUGCGUGACUCGUCAAGAAGAUAAUCACCAGCUAUGUGCAUGGAGAUUGAAGAAUGAAGACCUGAUAUCAAUUUGUACAAAACCUUCUUCUCUGGACAUGUCUCUCCAGAUGAAUCUGCAGAAACCCAUCACAUUACAAGUCUUUUAUCUCACAAUACUAAAACUGUUGUGAACAAACGCGAAUCAAGCUCGAAGAAAGCAAAGAGCAAAACGUAUUGAGGCAAAUACCCGUUUUAGGGUUUGUAUAUUAUUAUGUGAAUAAUUAACUUUACAACCCUUGGACUCAUAUUUAUAGCAGGCUCAAAAUCCAAUUUUCUUAUCCUUUAGGAUUUUUAGUAUUUUUAGGAUCUUUAAGAUUUAAGACACAUCCAGAUGCAACAAAAACGAAUAGAGAAGGAGAAACUCACAUUUUGGGCAGUUCUCUGAGUAAAUAGAGUCCCAAAUCCUUCUAGCAGAAGGUCCAGUGUAACCAGUAAACCUCUCAGGGUUUAGCUGAAGAUUUACAUAAGUCAUCUCACCUGAACAUUAUAAGUCAAUAACCAAUCAGUUCUCAAACACAUUGGUGCAUCAAACUGUUUUAGUUAAAACUACAUUACCGUUAUCUGUGUCAUCCUCAUGCGUCCAUGGAUUAUUAGUCUCCACCCAACCUCUGAACGCUAUGUUAUCUAUAGUACGGUCCACAGCAGCUUGGGGUUUCCCCUCUUGACAAAUCAAAUUAUCUGAAGGAAGACCUGCGAUGUUAUAGGGUCUUUUGAAAGGUUCAGGGAACUCAUUCUCUGGACAUUCGCAGACGCUGCAAUCACGUAAACGACACAUCCCAUCGUCUGGCCAGAACGGGCAGUCACACCACAGUUUGACCUGUAAAAAAAAAACAAUGUAACUAGCUGUUGGGGAAGAGUUAACAUCAAAAGAAAAGAAGAAUGAGAGACCUUGAAGUAACGGAAGAAGGGAGUAGCGACGAGAUCUUGAAGCAGAGGAUUCAAAACCUCACUGUUGAGAUUGUCCACUGUUUCGUAGUCACAGCAACAGUCCUCAACCAUGCCUUUGUAUUUACCACUUCCCUGUGUAUAUAUACCAACAAUGUCAUCAAAAAAGAUUCAGUUUUUUUUUUUUUAUUAUACUUAAUCCAAAGACCAAAGCUUUUGACUUUUUAACUAUUGUCAAUACUACGAAACAAAGUUUAUCAGAUUCAGACACGAACAUGUAACUGAGAUCCUUUUUUGUCCACAUUCCGUUAUAUCAGAUUGAAGCAAGGAGAUGGAGAGUAAUAAUCACGAACCUGAAGUGAGCAGCUGCAAGAAUUACGAUCGGUGAAGAAGGAACCGACAUUAGAAGCGGUUCGAGAGCUGACGGCAACUGCUAGUAAGACAACGACCAAAGCCGCCAAAGGCCAUCGCCAUGUUUGUCUCUUCCUUUCGCUUUCUUCUUCUUUGAUUGCGCCUUUUCCCAUAAUUAUCGUGAAAAGACACAAAAAGCAAAUCAAAUUGGGUUCAAAUAGAUCCUUUCACGGUAAACACGUUUUUUUUGCGUCUUUCGGACAAUUCUCAAAACCCCAUUGUUGUUUUGUCUGAAGAUCGACUCGGCUCUUAUUAAGCAAAAGUCAUGUAAUGUGGAUGCGUUAGUUUCAAUGCCCGCAUUUUUAAUCUCGUUUUGACAUUUCAGCGCGACGCGCGGGUUUGGGUACCACGCGCCUUUUUAAGUCGGAAUAUUUAUCUCGUUUGUCCCGUGACGUGCUUUAGCCAAUAGGAUCCAUUUAUUUGUUCCUCGGAGAAUAAACAACUUGCCCGUUUUAGCACGUCUCAGUCAACGGACGGUCGUUUAUGAUUUAGUGGUCGCCACGUCACCGGUUAGCCUUAACUUUAUCCGACAAACUCUCGAGUUUUAACAUUUUAACUGAACACAGUAUCUCUCAUUAUUAAUAACAAUUAAAAAAAA
Molecule: long non-coding RNA, 39378 nt
Filed under: Brassica napus (rape)
Lineage: Eukaryota; Viridiplantae; Streptophyta; Magnoliopsida; Brassicales; Brassicaceae
Description: long non-coding RNA (BNAP_LNC019256)
Source: RNAcentral